CAUGCAAGUCGAGGGGAACGACAUCGAAAGCUUGCUUUUGAUGGGCGUCGACCGGCGCACGGGUGAGUAACGCGUAUCCAACCUGCCCACCACUUGGGGAUAACCUUGCGAAAGUAAGACUAAUACCCAAUGACGUCUCUAGAAGACAUCUGAAAGAGAUUAAAGACUUAUCGGUGAUGGAUGGGGAUGCGUCUGAUUAGCUUGUUGGCGGGGUAACGGCCCACCAAGGCGACGAUCAGCAGGGGUUCUGAGAGGAAGGUCCCCCACAUUGGAACUGAGACACGGUCCAAACUCCUACGGGAGGCAGCAGUGAGGAAUAUUGGUCAAUGGACGAGAGUCUGAACCAGCCAAGUAGCGUGCAGGAAGACGGCCCUAUGGGUUGUAAACUGCUUUUAUAAGGGAAUAAAGUGAGAGUCGUGACUCUUUUUGCAUGUACCUUAUGAAUAAGGACCGGCUAAUUCCGUGCCAGCAGCCGCGGUAAUACGGAAGGUCCGGGCGUUAUCCGGAUUUAUUGGGUUUAAAGGGAGCGUAGGCCGGAGAUUAAGCGUGUUGUGAAAUGUAGAUGCUCAACAUCUGAACUGCAGCGCGAACUGGUUUCCUUGAGUACGCACAAAGUGGGCGGAAUUCGUGGUGUAGCGGUGAAAUGCUUAGAUAUCACGAAGAACUCCGAUUGCGAAGGCAGCUCACUGGAGCGCAACUGACGCUGAAGCUCGAAAGUGCGGGUAUCGAACAGGAUUAGAUACCCUGGUAGUCCGCACGGUAAACGAUGGAUGCCCGCUGUUGGUCUGAAUAGGUCAGCGGCCAAGCGAAAGCAUUAAGCAUCCCACCUGGGGAGUACGCCGGCAACGGUGAAACUCAAAGGAAUUGACGGGGGCCCGCACAAGCGGAGGAACAUGUGGUUUAAUUCGAUGAUACGCGAGGAACCUUACCCGGGCUUG
RNAcentral lists this ribosomal RNA (938 nucleotides) under uncultured bacterium. Its description in RNAcentral is "bacterial SSU rRNA". It matches the Rfam family "Bacterial small subunit ribosomal RNA", at positions 54 to 983 of the family's 1533-position model. The record is from RNAcentral.